CUGAAGAAAUCUAUCUGCCUUCAAGUUAACUUUUCUCAGAAGGUUCACUGACUGUUUUCAGGCCAGAACAUCAAUGGGCAUUAGGCCCUCAUCAGUAUCCCCAUUCCAUUUGGGCCUGAUACUUCAUCUGAUUAAUUACAUUAUCUCUUCUUAUUAUUUCAUUUUGAUGCCAGUUCCUAGCUAUAACAAUCUUUGCUGCUAAUAGCC
This is a non-coding RNA of Pelobates cultripes (western spadefoot toad), 207 nucleotides long. The record is from the annotation of a GenBank genome assembly. Lineage: Eukaryota; Metazoa; Chordata; Amphibia; Anura; Pelobatidae.